GCUUUACAGAGGUGCGUCUGUAAUCACAACUGCUACUGUGCAGGCUGAGACAGGAGAUCACUUGAGCCCAGGAGCUCCGGGCUAUAGUACACUUUGUUUAUUGUGUGCCCACACUAAGUUUACUAUUAAUAUGGUGACCUUCCAAGAGCAGGGGACCGCCAGGUUGCCUAACGAGGGGUGAACUGGCGCAGGUCAGAAGCAGAGCCUGUCAAAACUCAUGUGCUGCUCAGUAGCAGGAUCGUGCCUGUGAAUGGCCACUGCCCUCCAGCCUGAGCAACCUAGUGGGAACCCAUCUCUC
Unclassified non-coding RNA from Callithrix jacchus (white-tufted-ear marmoset), 298 nucleotides. It matches the Rfam family "Metazoan signal recognition particle RNA". From Rfam's summary of the family: The signal recognition particle (SRP) is a universally conserved ribonucleoprotein. It is involved in the co-translational targeting of proteins to membranes. NCBI's taxonomy places the organism in Eukaryota, Metazoa, Chordata, Mammalia, Primates, Cebidae. The record is from Ensembl.